GGCGGCGUGCUUACACAUGCAAGUCGUACGAGAACUCUUCAGCUUGCUAAAGAUAGUAAAGUGGCGCACGGGUGAGUAACGCGUGGGUAAUCUUGCCUCUGAAUCGGGGAUAACAUUGCGAAAGCGAUGCUAAUACCGGAUAACAUCUCAAAACCAUAUGGUUUUGAAAUUAAAAAUGGCCUCUACAUGUAAGCUGUUGUUUGGAGAUGAGCCCGCGUACCAUUAGCUAGUUGGUAGGGUAAUGGCCUACCAAGGCAACGAUGGUUAGCUGGUCUGAGAGGAUGAUCAGCCACACUGGAACUGACACACGGUCCAGACUCCUACGGGAGGCAGCAGUGAGGAAUUUUGCGCAAUGGGGGAAACCCUGACGCAGCAACGCCGCGUGAGUGAUGAAGGCCCUCGGGUCGUAAAGCUCUGUCAAGUGGGAAGAAACUGUAAAAUGUUAACAGCAUUAUACACUGACGGUACCACUGAAGGAAGCACCGGCUAACUCCGUGCCAGCAGCCGCGGUAAUACGGAGGGUGCAAGCGUUAUUCGGAAUUAUUGGGCGUAAAGGGCGCGUAGGCGGCCUUUUAAGUCAGAUGUGAAAGCCCGGGGCUUAACCCCGGAAGUGCAUUUGAAACUAAAGGGCUUGAGUAUGGGAGAGGGAAGUGGAAUUCCUGGUGUAGCGGUGAAAUGCGUAGAUAUCAGGAGGAACACCGGUGGCGAAGGCGACUUCCUGGACCAAUACUGACGCUAAGGCGCGAAGGCGUGGGUAGCAAACAGGAUUAGAUACCCUGGUAGUCCACGCAGUAAACGGUGAACACUAGGUGUAGCGGGUAUUGACCCCUGCUGUGCCGCAGCUAACGCAUUAAGUGUUCCGCCUGGGGGAGUACGGCCGCAAGGUUAAAACUC
RNAcentral lists this ribosomal RNA (894 nucleotides) under uncultured delta proteobacterium. RNAcentral's name for it is "bacterial SSU rRNA". It matches the Rfam family "Bacterial small subunit ribosomal RNA", at positions 38 to 902 of the family's 1533-position model. Lineage: Bacteria; Deltaproteobacteria. The record is from RNAcentral.